CCCUUAGACGUUCUGGGCCGCACGCGCGCUACACUGAACAGUUCAACAAGUCUUAACCUUGGCCGAUAGGUCUGGGUAAUCUUUGAACGCUGUUCGUGAUUGGGAUAGACCUUUGCAAUUAUGGGUCUUCAACGAGGAAUUCCUAGUAAACGCAAGUCAUCAGCUUGCAUUGAUUACGUCCCUGCCCUUUGUACACACCGCCCGUCGCACCUACCGAUUGAAUGGUCCGGUGAAAUCUCGGGACGGCGGCUUGGUCGCUUGCGUCCGACUGCUGAAACUUGAUUAAACCAUAUCAUUUAGAGGAAGGUGAANUCGUANCA
RNAcentral lists this ribosomal RNA (320 nucleotides) under uncultured eukaryote. RNAcentral's name for it is "partial 18S ribosomal RNA". It matches the Rfam family "Eukaryotic small subunit ribosomal RNA", at positions 1470 to 1796 of the family's 1831-position model. The record is from RNAcentral.